AGGGUGUAAACGCUGCAGACUUGGUGUUGGAAGCCCUUUGGGGGCAUUCAGUGCCGGAGAGAAGUUGUUAAGUCUGCUACUUGGGGAGUACGUCCGCAAGGAUGAAACUUAAAGGAAUUGGCGGGGGAGCACCGCAACGGGAGGAGCGUGCGGUUUAAUUGGAUUCAACACCGUAAAACUCACCAGGGAAGACUGUUACAUGAAGGCCGAGAUGAAGACUCUGCUAGAUUUUCAGAGAGGUGGUGCAUGGCGUCAGUGGCU
Molecule: ribosomal RNA, 261 nt
Filed under: uncultured archaeon
Lineage: Archaea
Description: partial 16S ribosomal RNA
Rfam family: Archaeal small subunit ribosomal RNA
Source: RNAcentral